This 501-nucleotide ribosomal RNA is filed under the name uncultured bacterium. RNAcentral describes it as "partial 16S ribosomal RNA". It matches the Rfam family "Bacterial small subunit ribosomal RNA", at positions 30 to 523 of the family's 1533-position model. The record is from RNAcentral.
AUUGAACGCUGGCGGCAGGCUUAACACAUGCAAGUCGAGCGGGGGAAGGUAGCUUGCUACCGGACCUAGCGGCGGACGGGUGAGUAAUGCUUAGGAAUCUGCCUAUUAGUGGGGGACAACAUCUCGAAAGGGAUGCUAAUACCGCAUGCGUCCUACGGGAGAAAGCAGGGGAUCUUCGGACCUUGCGCUAAUAGAUGAGCCUAAGUCGGAUUAGCUAGUUGGUGGGGUAAAGGCCUACCAAGGCGACGAUCUGUAGCGGGUCUGAGAGGACGAUCCGCCACACUGGGACUGAGACACGGCCCAGACUCCUACGGGAGGCAGCAGUGGGGAAUAUUGGACAAUGGGGGGAACCCUGAUCCAGCCAUGCCGCGUGUGUGAAGAAGGCCUUAUGGUUGUAAAGCACUUUAAGCGAGGAGGAGGCUACUUUAGUUAAUACCUAGAGAUAGUGGACGUUACUCGCAGAAUAAGCACCGGCUAACUCUGUGCCAGCAGCCGCCGUAA